AGCCCAAAAUUGAAUUGGGCUAACUUGCUGUUGGCACGUUUAGCUUGUAGCUUGUUCCUUCUCCUCCUUCUUCUUCCUAGUCCCGUUCUUACUCACUCUGAAACCCUAAACAUGCCGCCAUUAGCGCCUCUGCAUCUUCGGAAGCUCUUACUCCGUUCUCGUUCCUUAUCAUUCACUUCUCCCACUCCGAUUCACCCUCCUCCUCUGUUUCCCCAACAACCUUCUUCCCAUUUCCAUUCCCGAACCCUCCUCACUCCUUCUUCGCUCUUCAUAAUCAGACAUUUCUCAUCGGAAACCCAAACGGAUCAGAUUGCGCACUCCCUCUCCUCAGAGCUUCUCAAAGAGCCAGACUCGGACGCUCUCUCCGUCUCGCAGCGCCUUCACCUGAGCUUCUCCCACAUCACUCCAACCCCCAAUUUGAUUCUCCAAACCCUAAACCUCUCCCACGAAUCUGGCCGCACUGUAUUAGGGUUCCAUCAAUGGCUCUCUUCCAACCCCCAAUUCUCCCACACGGACGACACUCUUUCCUACUUCGUCGACUACUUUGGCCGCCGUAAGGACUUCAAGGCCACGCAUGACGUCCUCUCCGCCGCUUCCCCCGCCGCCGGCCCCAAAACCCUAGCCUCCGCGAUCGACCGCCUCGUCCGCGCGGGCCGCCCCAGCCAGGCGGUUCAGUUCUUCGAGCGAAUGGAGAGAGACUACGGGCUGAAGCGCGAUCGUGCUUCCUUAAAAGUGGUCGUGGAGAAGCUGUGUUCGAAGGGUUUCGCUAGUUACGCGGAAAAAAUGGUUAAGGAUUUGGCGAAGGUGUUUUUCCCCGACGAAGCCACGUGUGAUAUGUUGAUCAAAGGGUGGUGCGUUGAUGGGAAGCUCGAUGAAGCUCAAAGGCUCGCCGGUGAGAUGUAUCGUGGUGGGUUUGAGCUUGGUGUGGGGUCUUACAAUGCCAUGCUUGAUUGCGUUUGCAAGCUUUGUCGCCAAAAGGAUCCGUUUCAACUUCACUCGGAAGCAGAGAAGGUGUUGGUGGAGAUGGAGCACCGUGGGGUUCCAAGGAAUGUGGAGACAUUCAAUGUGUUGAUAACGAAUUUAUGUAAGAUUAGGAAGACCGAAGAUGCUUUGGGAUUGUUUCGUAGCAUGGGAGAGUGGGGGUGUUACCCUAAUGAGACUACUUUUCUUGUUUUGAUUAGGAGUCUGUAUCAGGCUGCUAGGUUGGAAGAGGGGGAUGAGAUGAUUGAUAGGAUGAGGUCUGCUGGGUUUGGUGAGUUUCUAGAUAAGAAGGCUUACUAUCAGCUCCUCAAGAUUUUGUGUGGCAUUGAGAGGGUUGAUCAUGCUUUGAGUGUGUUUGCUAUGAUGAAGGAUGGUGGGUGUGAACCCGGGCUUAUAACUUAUGACUUGUUGAUGGGAAAAUUGGGUGCUCACAAUCGUAUCGAUAAGGCUAAUGCUCUAUUCAAUGAAGCGAAGAGUAGAGGGCUGCCUGUGAUGCUCAAAGAGUAUGCUGUUGACCCGAGGUAUUUGAAGAAGAAGAAGGUUGUCAAGGGUGUGAAGAAGAGGGAAACCUUGCCUGAGAAAAUGGCUAGGAAGAGAAGCCGCCUGAAACAGAUUCGGUUGAGUUUUGUGAAGAAGCCCAAAAGAGUGAUGGGUCGUUGAUCAUUUUUUAUACUUUAUAAAGGUUUCGGAAUAGAUUUCCCUAUUUAAUCAUCAUUUUCUUUGUUUCAUUGUUAGUUUUGAAUAUUUGGAGAUAAAUCUUUGCAUGGAAAUGGCUCCAUUGUAGGACAUAAAUGCCGCCACAUAUUCAGAAAUAAUUUUUUGUACUUGGUGCUUUAUGUUGGUUCAACUUCUGGGAGAUGUAUGCUGGGCUUCUUAAUGAUUAUUGACAUUGACAUCAGGAAAGGGUACAAAUUAAAUGAUAAAAUAAAUGUGUGUCAAAUUAGCAGAAAAAACUGGAAUCUGAUUAAAAAAUUGUUGCUAAUUGAAUAAUCAAAUGAUGUCUCAGUUUAAUCUGGUUUUAAUUAUGUAUUUGUCUCUUACCAUAGUUUGCCCCAUUCAUAAGCUAGUGUUCAAUGCUUUGCUGGAAGGUUUACUGCUGAAUUUUCAGCAUUUGAAACUGAAAAAGGCAAGCAUAAAACUUAAGUGUAGUGCAGAUUGUAACAACUCACUUUGUAGUACAUAGAACAACUGAACAAGAAAAGAAGAUGCAUGGCAGACUAUAGGGUUAAACCAAGAUUCUAUUCCGCACCAAAUGUUUAAAGAAUCACCUUGGUAUAGAAUUGGUUGCUGAAGCUCAGGUCACUAGCUGGCAUUGUUGUUGUUGCCAUUCAAAUCUGUUGCAAAGACUGUCCUUGCAACUAGAGAAAGCUAUGGGUAGUUCUGGUAGUGACUCAGAUUAUUCCAAUGAUUCUGAUGCAGAGGUUAAUGUUACAAUCAGAUUGCUGGAAUAAGAUUCAUGUGGGAAAAUGCAGUCAAUCAGAAAAGUGAAGUCUGGAGAUAUAAAGGUCUUGGCUGUAUUCUAACUCAUACCAUACCAUGGACCUUGGUGAAACUUUUCAGGUAUUGUACUCAUUAUGGAGAAUUUAUUAUGUCGAUAUAACUGAAGAGUGAAUACUGUUUUGUUGAAAAUACAUGUGACAGAUCAAUGCCUUUUCUCUGUGAAAUUGCCCUUGCUUGAAUACUGAACAAAUAUUACUUGACAACGUGGCUCUUUGUGUAGUCUGAUGCAGCUAUCAUUCUUAUUGUUUCUUCCCCUCCAUUGUUUCUAUUUUAUGUAAUUUUAAUAACUUAUUUCUUCUUA
Glycine soja is the source of this 2782-nucleotide RNA transcript. It is a transcript of the gene named pentatricopeptide repeat-containing protein PNM1, mitochondrial-like, with no coding region annotated. The record is from RefSeq and is a predicted model, not a curated record. Lineage: Eukaryota; Viridiplantae; Streptophyta; Magnoliopsida; Fabales; Fabaceae. The transcript is spliced from 2 exons.